RNAcentral lists this long non-coding RNA (1971 nucleotides) under Macaca fascicularis (crab-eating macaque). RNAcentral's name for it is "lncRNA (ENSMFAG00000057485.1)". The record is from RNAcentral. Lineage: Eukaryota; Metazoa; Chordata; Mammalia; Primates; Cercopithecidae.
GAGAUCGCACCACUGCCCUUCAGCUUGGGCAACAGAAUGAGACUCUGUCUCAAAAACAAACAAACAAACAAACAGACAAACAACCCACUAUGGUGCCUUGUUGUUCCAUCCUCUGGAGGGGACAAAGGCUGUGUCUCCUGUGGUGGGGAGGUAGAAGUGGGAGGCAGUACUCUGAAGCCUCUGUAUAAGAAGGUGAAUCCCAUUCAUGAGGGCAGAGUCCUCGUGGCCUAAUCACCUUGCCCUAUCUCUUAAUACUAUCACCUGGAAAAUUAAGUUCUGACAUGUAAAUUUUGGAGGGACAUCUAUAUUCAAACCAUAUCAGGCUCCAUGCAAAAAUAAUUGCACUCUUGAGGGCAUCCCUAAAGCCAAUUGUUCAUACUCUAGUAGAACACUCAUUGAGUUAUAUUAGAGGCUUCCAUUUGUUUAUUUUGUUUUGCCUUCUAAUCACAUGUGUAGCGAGAUGGAGGGCUCCCCAAAUCUGUGCUUCUCCUCUUUAUUCUUGCCACAUUUGUGUCAAUUACAUUUCCCAGCCCCCUUGCAGUUAGGUAAGACCAUGGAAUUGAGUUCAUGUCCCACCAAAUUGCAGGCCAUUUUCAGAGUAGGCCCCCCAAACCUCCCACACAAUUGUUCACACUGUCCCUCUCCUUUGACCUGUGGUCAGGUGUAGAGAACCUGGGCGAGCACCUUCCAUCCUAGAAGAUGGUAGAGUCACUGUGUGCAGGGAUACUGAAUCCCUGAGUGACUGCAACAUUUCACUUAGCCCACAUUGAGGUAUACUAUGAGUGAGAAGUCAAUCUUUAUUAUGCCAUAAUACUAUAUUUAUCACGUCAAGACACCUUUUAAUUAUUAGUGUCUAUUGUGUAACAAGCCAUAUCAAAACUUAGUGGCCUCCAACAACCAUUUUUGAACACAUGCAAUUCUGCAUGUAGGCUGGGCUUAGCUGGGUAGUUCCUCUGUGGGUCUUGCUGCUGCUGGUUAAUCAUCAGCUGGUGGGUUGGCUGGGGGCUGGGUCCAGUUGGAACACUGGAACACUGGCCUUCUCUCUCUUUUCAUGUAGUUACAGGACCUCUCUCCCUCCCUGUGGCUUCUCCACGGGACCCUUCGCUGGCCUCUCUACCAGCAUACCCAGACUUCUGUGGAGUCUCCCAAGAGUGCAAAAGUGGAACCUGCCAAGCCUUCUUAAGGAAGAAAGGGCACAGCAUCACUUCCAUUGCAUUCUAUGGGCUAAGGCAAGUUAAAGGACCAGCUUAAUUCAAGGAAGGAGGGCUAUGUGAAAGUUCAAUAUGGGGAGGUGUGGCUUUUGGAGGCUCGUGAUGUAACAGACCCUCACAACCACUGAGAUGAGGGACUUGUUUGUUAUAGCAGCUGCCUAUACUGACUAAUCAACACCAGUAGCUCAGUGUUUCCCAAAUUUCAUCAAUCUCCUACUGCCCUCGCUAUUUUUGUGCUUUCUAUGUACCAUUUUGAAUAUUACUCACUAUUUCUUUUAUGUACCAUUUUGAAUAUUACUCACUGUUUCUUUUAAUCAAUGAACUUGAAAUAUAAAUUUAUUGAAAAAUAAGCUUUGUGUCAGCACUGUAAGUGAAAGAUUAGAAGUAUAAUUAUAUUAUUCUUCCAUUAUCAUUAAAAUAAGUCCAUAACUAUUAAAAUAGUCUAUCAAUAUAGCCCUUCAAACCAUCCCCUUGUCAUCAGGGAUGGGCCCAGCCCCUGGAAAGGAGGUUAUAGAGAUGCUUGAUAAUUUUUGUUAAACUCAAUUUUGUAGAAUUCAAAUCUGCUUCUCUAUAAUUUAUACCCACCAGAUUCCACUGAAACCCAAUCUGAUUCCCCCUCUUUCUGACUGCCCUUAGAUAUCUGGUGAGUUUUCAAGGGAAUUUUCCAUUCCCUGAACAUUUCCACUUUCUUCAACGUAUCCUGUUUCCUUGAAACCUUCUAACAAUGAGCAAAAAAAAAAAAAAAAAAAAAAAAAAAAAA